RNAcentral lists this small nucleolar RNA (107 nucleotides) under Eutrema salsugineum. Its description in RNAcentral is "Plant small nucleolar RNA R71". It matches the Rfam family "Plant small nucleolar RNA R71". From Rfam's summary of the family: R71 is a member of the C/D box family of snoRNAs containing the C (UGAUGA) and D (CUGA) box motifs. The record is from Rfam by way of RNAcentral. Lineage: Eukaryota; Viridiplantae; Streptophyta; Magnoliopsida; Brassicales; Brassicaceae.
AAGCCAUGAUGUGGACACUGAUUUGUGUAACUCCUAAACCUCUCCCAAGCUUCUCCAAAGCUUUCAUUGUUGUUCUGGGUAAAGUUUGAUAUCUGGUUUCUCAGCUU